This 1193-nucleotide ribosomal RNA is filed under the name uncultured bacterium. Its description in RNAcentral is "bacterial SSU rRNA". It matches the Rfam family "Bacterial small subunit ribosomal RNA", at positions 31 to 1239 of the family's 1533-position model. The record is from RNAcentral.
GGGCCUUGGCGGUCGCUUAUGCAUGCAGUUGAGCGAAGCUUUUCAGUAGUUUACUACAGAAAAUGACUGAGCGGCGAACGGGUGAGUAACGCGUGAGCAAUCUACCUUAGUUACUGGGAUAGCCCGAGGAAACUCGGAUUAAUACCGGAUAUUCUUAUUUUUUCACAUGAAGUUUUAAGGAAAGGUCAGCCGAACUAAGAUGAGCUCGCGUUCUAUCAGCUAGUUGGUGGGGUAAAAGCCUACCAAGGCAACGACGGAUAGCUGGUCUGAGAGGACGAUCAGCCACACUGGAACUGAGACACGGCCCAGACUCCUACGGGAGGCUGCAGCAGGGAAUAUUGUGCAAUGAGCGAAAGCUUGACACAGCGACACCGCGUGUGGGAUGACGGUUCUAGGAUUGUAAACCACUUUCAGGAGGGAAGAAAAUGACGGUACCUCCACAAGAAGACCCGGCCAACUAUGUGCCAGCAGCCGCGGUAAUACAUAGGGGUCAAGCGUUGUCCGGAUUUAUUGGGCGUAAAGAGCCCGUAGGCGGUUCAACAAGUCGGUCGUAAAAGUUUAGGGCUCAACCCUAAAAUGUCGAUCGAUACUGUUGUGACUAGGAUACGGUAGAGGUGAAUGGAAUUCCGAGUGUAGCGGUGAAAUGCGUAGAUAUUCGGAGGAACACCAAUUGCGAAGACAGUUCACUGGACCGUGAUCGACGCUGAGGAGCGAAAGCUAGGGGAGCAAACAGGAUUAGAUACCCUGGUAGUCCUAGCUGUAAACGAUGGAUACUAGAUGUAGGAACUGGAUUGACGGUUUCUGUAUCGUAGCUAACGCGUUAAGUAUCCCGCCUGGGGAGUACGGUCGCAAGACUAAAACUCAAAGGAAUUGACGGGACCCCGCACAAGCGGCGGAGCAUGCGGCUUAAUUCGAUGAUACCCGUAGAACCUUACCUGGACUUGACAUAAUAGGGAAAACUUAAAGAAAUUUAGUGUGCGUAAGCGCCCUAUACAGGUGGUGCAUGGCUGUCGUCAGCUCGUGUCGUGAGAAUGUGGGGUUAGUCCCGCACGAGGCCGCACCCCCUGUUCUAUGUUGCAGCCAGUAUGUGGGACCUCAUAGGAGACCUGCGGUGAUAACCCGAAGAGGUGGGGGAUGACGUCAAGUCAUCAUGCCCUUAUGUUCAAGCUGCACGCAUGCUACAAUUGCCAAGG